Non-coding RNA from Coffea arabica (coffee), 162 nucleotides. NCBI's taxonomy places the organism in Eukaryota, Viridiplantae, Streptophyta, Magnoliopsida, Gentianales, Rubiaceae. The record is from RefSeq and is a predicted model, not a curated record.
GCAAAGAUGAGUUAAAAAGCGGGGAGGCUGCUAACUUGAUUCAAGAAAACAGAAAGCUCCAGGCUCAAUGCUUGGAGUUUGAGAAAACGGUGGAAGAACUUAAUCUCAAGGCGGCUCGCCUUAGGGUAGAAUUGGGAGAGGCGCGGCGCGAGCAUUCUCGCU